AGAGAAAGAGGAGACGGCGUCGUGCGCACACGCUGCGCUCUACAUAUAUAUAUAUAUAUAUAUUUUUAAUAAAACACGGAAAUAUAUUUAAAUGUGUCCGUGUGUCGCUACCUUAAGGACCCAAGUAUUGAUUGAUAGACAAAGUCAGCGCGGACUUACUGGGUUUUUAUUUUUUAUUUUUUUGGGCUGCGUGAAUCAAGUUUCGAGGGGGGGGGGGGAGAGACCUGGCCCACCGACCGAACCGACUCUCUAAAGACCCGGACCAGAACUCUGGAUCGCGCAACUUUUUUAUAUUUAGUUUAGCUAAACCGCUUAGCUAACUAAAUUAUAAAGUUGCUCCUCUCCUCGUCCGCGAUGUCUGGAAGCGAGGACGACGGCGCGGACGGCUACGGAGCCCCGGAGGACCGGCUACUUCACGACGAUGAGGAAGAGGAGGUCUCGGAGAACGAGACCCCGAAGGUGAAGAAGAAGAAGAAGGCCAAGAAGAGCAAAGAGAGCAAGGGCAGCAAGAGGCGGUCGCGCAGAGAGGUAAAAAAAAAAACUACACGAAGUACACAACAACUUUUUUUUUUUGAUCCCAUGUCCCACAU
This 590-nucleotide long non-coding RNA is filed under the name Cyclopterus lumpus (lumpfish). RNAcentral describes it as "lncRNA (ENSCLMG00005001732.1)". Lineage: Eukaryota; Metazoa; Chordata; Actinopteri; Perciformes; Cyclopteridae. The record is from RNAcentral.